AGAGUGAACGCUGGCGGCAGGCCUAACACAUGCAAGUCGAACGGCAGCACAGGGGAGCUUGCUCCCUGGGUGGCGAGUGGCGGACGGGUGAGGACAACGUCGGAAUCUGCCUUUUUGUGGGGGAUAACGUAGGGAAACUUACGCUAAUACCGCAUACGACCCCAGGCCGGGAGGUUUGGGGUGAAAGCGGAGGACCUUCGGGCUUCGCGCAGAAAGAUGAGCCGACGUCGGAUUAGCUAGUUGGUGGGUAAAGGCCCACCAAGGCGACGAUCCGUAGCUGGUCUGAGAGGAUGAUCAGCCACACUGGAACUGAGACACGGUCCAGACUCCUACGGGAGGCAGCAGUGGGGAAUAUUGGACAAUGGGCGCAAGCCUGAUCCAGCCAUGCCGCGUGUGUGAAGAAGGCCUUCGGGUUGUAAAGCACGUUUUGUUGGGAAGAAAAGUCACCCGGUUAAUACCCGGUGUUAAGUGACGUAACCCAAAGAAUAAGACACCGGCUAACUUCGCGCC
Molecule: ribosomal RNA, 510 nt
Filed under: uncultured soil bacterium
Lineage: Bacteria
Description: bacterial SSU rRNA
Rfam family: Bacterial small subunit ribosomal RNA
Source: RNAcentral